GGCAGGUUGCCCGAGCGGCCAAUGGGAGCGGACUGUAAAUCCGUCGCGAAAGCUACGCAGGUUCGAAUCCUGCMCCUGCCACCA
RNAcentral lists this transfer RNA (84 nucleotides) under Mycobacterium tuberculosis str. Haarlem/NITR202. Its description in RNAcentral is "tRNA-Tyr (GTA) (tRNA-Tyr-GTA-1-1)". It matches the Rfam family "tRNA". Rfam says of the family: Transfer RNA (tRNA) molecules are approximately 80 nucleotides in length. Their secondary structure includes four short double-helical elements and three loops (D, anti-codon, and T loops). Lineage: Bacteria; Bacillati; Actinomycetota; Actinomycetes; Mycobacteriales; Mycobacteriaceae. The record is from RNAcentral.